Zootermopsis nevadensis is the source of this 430-nucleotide non-coding RNA. The record is from RefSeq and is a predicted model, not a curated record. NCBI's taxonomy places the organism in Eukaryota, Metazoa, Arthropoda, Insecta, Blattodea, Termopsidae.
AGCGUGAAGUUAGAAUCACUGAAGAAGAUUCUAACUUAACAACAACGGAUACUUUGAAGGCACCAGCAAAAAAAUCGUUUUGGACUGGCAGUUACCUUCUGUUGGCAAUCGAGCAAGACAGUUUCUUCGUAAUAACGUAUUGCUCAAAGCAGGGUGGAAAUAGAAUUUCCUCCAUCGGGUUUCGAAACCUGAGUCCUGAUGAAGCGACAUUGGAAAAAGCGUUUAAAGCCUUCAACGAAACGGGCCUAGAUGCCAGUCAGCUUGUGAAAUGGAGUGCGGACCAUUGCUAACACUGGGAGCGUACGAACACAAUUGAAAUAUUUGUACUGCACAUUCUUUUUUGGUGUAGGGUGUAAGGGGUAAUAUCUUCUGUUGAAAUCAUUGUUCGAAAGGCAGAUUUUUACAGAUAUAAAACUUUUGUAUAAAUAUA